AUGCUUCUCUUAGUAAUGUUACUCACAUCACCACAGCAGAAUUGGAUUAUAGGGCCACAUGUUUGGGACACUUUUGUGUAAGUGUCUCAUUUAUACCAAAACUUAAAAAAAAAUCUACUAAUGCCUAAAUAUAAAGUUCAAUCCAAUCAAAAAUAAAAAGUUACUCUACUUAACUACCCCACCCAACCCAUUCAGCCCGAUUACAAACAGAAAAGAAAAAAAAAAGAAAAAUCGAUUACCAUCUCGCCUUCUCCCUCACUCAAUCCACUUAAAUUCUAGACGAAGAGACCUUCCCUCUCCUCUUCCUCCACAGCCAACGAGGUAGAGUUCCGGCGGUUGCCAAAUACUUAAAUAAGUGUUAGUAAAUUAGUAGCACUCUUUUUAGGUUAUAGUGACACUCUUUAACUGUCACUAUAUACCUAGUGACCCCACAUAUAGCAACACUUUUUAAAAGUGUCGGUAAUUUAGCAAGUAUCACUUUUUUUGACAUGUACCGACAUUUAAAAGUGUCGCUAUAUAU
This 520-nucleotide long non-coding RNA is filed under the name Ananas comosus (pineapple). RNAcentral describes it as "long non-coding RNA (ACOM_LNC006942)". Lineage: Eukaryota; Viridiplantae; Streptophyta; Magnoliopsida; Poales; Bromeliaceae. The record is from RNAcentral.